RNAcentral lists this ribosomal RNA (710 nucleotides) under uncultured bacterium. RNAcentral describes it as "bacterial SSU rRNA". It matches the Rfam family "Bacterial small subunit ribosomal RNA", at positions 94 to 823 of the family's 1533-position model. The record is from RNAcentral.
AGCGGCGGACGGGUGAGUAACGCGUGGGUAACCUGCCCUAUACACACGGAUAACAUACCGAAAGGUAUGCUAAUACGAGAUAAUAUAAGAGAUUCACAUGGAUUUCUUAUCAAAGCUGAGGCGGUAUAGGAUGGACCCGCGUCUGAUUAGCUAGUUGGUAAGGUAACGGCUUACCAAGGCGACGAUCAGUAGCCGACCUGAGAGGGUGAUCGGCCACAUUGGAACUGAGACACGGUCCAAACUCCUACGGGAGGCAGCAGCGGGGAAUAUUGCACAAUGGGCGAAAGCCUGAUGCAGCAACGCCGCGUGAGUGAUGAAGGCCUUCGGGUCGUAAAACUCUGUCCUCAAGGAAGAUAAUGACGGUACUUGAGGAGGAAGCCCCGGCUAACUACGUGCCAGCAGCCGCGGUAAUACGUAGGGGGCUAGCGUUAUCCGGAUUUACUGGGCGUAAAGGGUGCGUAGGUGGUCUCUUAAGUCAGGGGUGAAAGGCUACGGCUCAACCGUAGUAAGCCUUUGAAACUGGGAAACUUGAGUGCAGGAGAGGAGAGUGGAAUUCCUAGUGUAGCGGUGAAAUGCGUAGAUAUUAGGAGGAACACCAGUUGCGAAGGCGGCUCUCUGGACUGUAACUGACACUGAGGCACGAAAGCGUGGGGAGCAAACAGGAUUAGAUACCCUGGUAGUCCACGCCGUAAACGAUGAGUACUAGCUGU